GACGAACCGUGCGAACGUUGUUCGGAAUCACUGGGCUUAAAGGGCGCGUAGGCGGGCUGACAAGUCUGGGGUGAAAUCCCACGGCUCAACCGUGGAACUGCCUUAGAUACUGUCGGCCUCGAGGAAGGUAGGGGCAUGCGGAACUAACGGUGGAGCGGUGAAAUGCGUUGAUAUCGUUAGGAACUCCGGUGGCGAAAGCGGCGUGCUGGACCUUUUCUGACACUGAGGCGCGAAAGCCAGGGGAGCGAACGGG
RNAcentral lists this ribosomal RNA (253 nucleotides) under uncultured bacterium. RNAcentral describes it as "partial 16S ribosomal RNA". It matches the Rfam family "Bacterial small subunit ribosomal RNA", at positions 524 to 776 of the family's 1533-position model. The record is from RNAcentral.